Molecule: non-coding RNA, 73 nt
Organism: Hippopotamus amphibius kiboko
Lineage: Eukaryota; Metazoa; Chordata; Mammalia; Artiodactyla; Hippopotamidae
Source: the annotation of a RefSeq genome assembly
UCCCUGGCAGUCCAGUGGUUAGGACUCGGCACUGUCACUGCCUAGGGCCCAGGUUCAAUCCCUGGUCAGGGAG